UACAGAGGGGGCAAGCGUUGUUCGGAAUUACUGGGCGUAAAGGGCGCGUAGGCGGCCUGCUAAGUCGAACGUGAAAUCCCCGGGCUCAACCUGGGAACUGCGUUUGUGACUGUGUGACUAGAGUACGGCAGAGGGGGGUGGAAUUCCUGGUGUAGCAGUGAAAUGCGUAGAUAUCAGGAGGAACAUCGAUGGCGAAGGCAGCCCCCUGGGCCUGUACUGACGCUCAUGCACGAAAGCGUGGGGAGCAAACAGG
RNAcentral lists this ribosomal RNA (253 nucleotides) under uncultured bacterium. RNAcentral's name for it is "partial 16S ribosomal RNA". It matches the Rfam family "Bacterial small subunit ribosomal RNA", at positions 524 to 776 of the family's 1533-position model. The record is from RNAcentral.